RNAcentral lists this ribosomal RNA (758 nucleotides) under uncultured Glomus. RNAcentral's name for it is "eukaryotic LSU rRNA". It matches the Rfam family "Eukaryotic large subunit ribosomal RNA", at positions 38 to 648 of the family's 3401-position model. The record is from RNAcentral. Lineage: Eukaryota; Fungi; Glomeromycota; Glomeromycetes; Glomerales; Glomeraceae.
GCAUAUCAAUAAGCGGAGGAAAAGAAAAUAACAAUGAUUCCCUUAGUAACUGCGAGUGAAGAGGGAUAAGCUCAAAUUUUAAAUCUGUUAGGUUCUCCUAACCGAGUUGUAAUUUGAAGAAGCGUUUUCUGUGCUUUUGGUCAGUCUAAGUCCUAUUGAAUGAGGCAUCAUGGAGGGUGAUAAUCCCGUGAGGUUGACCAUUGCGCUUUACGAUACGCUUUCUAGGAGUCAAGUUGUUUGGGAAUGCAGCUUAAAAUGGGAGGUAAAUUUCUCCUAAGGCUAAGUAACGGCGAGAGACCGAUAGCGAACAAGUACCGUGAGGGAAAGAUGAAAAGAACUUUGAAAAGAGAGUUAAAUAGUACGUGAAAUUGUUGAAAGGGAAACGAUUGAAGCCAGUCGUACCUGCGGGUAAUCAGCCUUUUGGGUGUGAUUAUGUGGGGCGUGAGGAGCUAAACACCCUCAUCUUUGCAUAUUCGUGCACUUUGGGUGUACUUGCUCGUGUGGUAGGUUAACAUCAAUUUUGAUCGUCAUAAAAUGACUAGAGGAAUGUAGCUUCGAUCUCGUGUUGAAGUGUUAUAGCCUUUGGUAGAUGUGAUGAUUAGGAUUGAGGAUUGCAACGGAUACCCUUCGGGGCUAACUGUCUGAUCUCUGAAAGUUGCUCUGGUGCUGAAAGCUUGCUUAUGGUAUCUAAGUUGACGUUCAAAAGGUUAGAACGGGAUAAAUUCGUUAAGGAUGUUGACGUAAUGGCUUUAAACGAC